CGUUCAUCCUGAUAGGGAUUGUUGUUCUCCAGAUGAACAUAUUAAAAGAACAACAAGCCUUAGGAUAGUGCAAGUGCCCCCUCAGAGGAUCUUGGUGAUCGAGGGAGAAGGUAAGGAAUUAGAUGUAAUUUGUAAUUUAUUAUUUGUACCCCAUCCAUCUGGCUGGGCUUCCCCAGCCACUCUGGGCGGCUUCCAACAAAGAUUAAAAAUACAUUAAAAUGUCACACAUUAAAAACUUUAGAUGUCUUCAAAAUGUCAGGUAGUUGUUUAUCUCUUUGACAUCUGAUGGGAGGGAGUUCCACAGGGUGGGCGCCACUACCGAGAAGGCCCUCUGCCUGGUUCCCUGUAGCUUAGCUUCUCGCAGUGAGGGAACCUCCAGAAGGCCCUUGGAGCUGGACCUCAGUGUCCGGGCUGAACAAUGGGGGUGGAAACGCUCCUUCAGGUCUACUGGGCCGAGCCCGUUUAGGGCUUUAAAGGUCAACACCAACACUUUGAAUUGUGGGAAACAUACUGGGAGCCAAUAUAGGUCUUUCAGGACCGGUGUUAUAUGGUCUCGGCGGCCGCCCCCAGUCACCAGUCUAGCUGGUUCUCUUAAGAUGCUGGGCUGUGUGCUAAGGAGGUGCCCCAGUCACUGUGAGUUCAUUAUCACUCUCUGUGUAGACGGCAUGUGGUCAUCAUUACAGGAACUGUUUUGGGGCAUCAAUGGCGUUUCCAGGGAUGCCAUGAGCACACCUGCUCUUUUUGGGAUUUUGGUUUGGAGUUUUCUGGUUGCGUGCUUCCCCUUGCCCUGAGAAUCCGCGUAUACAAGGGGCCGGGCACCAAAGUGUAGUGACCAUUUUGCUGGUGAAGCAGUGGAUUAUCUCUCCUACUGGCUUUUAAUUUUGAGCAUAAGCUUGUUUUGUCAUAGGACGAAUCAUCGGCAGAGGCGAGAGUCGGGCAUUAAUGCAAUGCAUCAACCACAUGGGGCACAGAGCAGGUCUGCACUAGGUUGCCCUGCCUCUGACGUUGCAUGUUCUACCUCUGACAUCCGCACACUGAGUGUGCACAUCUGUAGGGAUGUAACAGGCGUCUCCAGGCUCUGGAGCCCCAAUCAUUCAGGGUUACAGAUCUGGGGGUGAAUGCCUCCCUCCCUGAUGUAUGUGUAGACAUCAGAGAUGCAUACAUAUAAAAACAUAAUAAAACAUGGAACAUUAAAAAGCUUCUCUGUACCGAGUUGCCUUCAGAUGUCGUCUAAAGGUUGUCUAGUAACUUAUUUCCUUGGCUCCGGGGUUGCUCCACACCCUCCAACAUUUCUCCACUGAAAAUAGGGACAUCCUACGCUGUGGUGUAAACCACUGAGUCUUGGGCUUGCUGAUCAGAAGGUUGGCGGUUCAAAUCCCUGUGAUGGGGUGAGCUCCCGUUGCUCGGUCCCUGCUCCUGCCAACCUAACAGUUCGAAAGCACGUCAAAGUGCAAGCAGAUAAAUAGGUACCACCCUGGCGGGAAGGCAAACAGUGUUUCCGUGCGCUGCUCUGGUUUCGCCAGAAGUGGCUUAGUCAUGCUGGCCACAUGACCCAGAAAAACUGUCUGCGGACAAACGCCGGCUCCCUCGGCCAGUAAAGCGAGAUGAGCACCGCAACCCCAGGGUCGUCUGUGACUGGACCUAACAGUCAGGGGUCCUUUACCUUUUUUUUUUUUAAGGAAAAGCAGGACAUUCCAGGAUUAAAUAGCUCAGUUGGUUAGAGUGUGGUGCUGAUAAUGCCAUGGUUGCAGGUUUGAUUCCCGUAUGGGAAAACUGCAUAUCCCUGCAUUGCAGGGGGUUAGACUAGAUGAUUUCCAGGGUCCCCUCCAACUCUACAAUUCUAUGAAAUUUGAAACCUGGAGGGCUCCUGUAAAUCUGGGACCAUUCUUGGAAAACAGGAACCCCUGGAGGGUCUGCGCCUGUGUCAUUCAACAUGGAAACUCUUAAUUCCCCAACAGAACAAAAUCCAGUUCGCUCUCCAAAUGGCUUACGAAAAUCCAUUCAAGCAAUGACAGGGAUAUACCAUGCCAUAUUAGAAGCAAAAAAACUUGUUUUGAUGAAUUGGAAGAGCCGCAAAAAGAUCCCAUUGAGCACAUGGAUUGACAAUAUGGACAGACUAGUUACAUAUGAACGAAUUGCAUAUUGACGCAAAUUAAGAAUGGAUAAAUAUGAAGAAAUCUGGAAGGAAUACUUAAG
This 2196-nucleotide long non-coding RNA is filed under the name Podarcis lilfordi (Lilford's wall lizard). The stretch from base 1706 to 1764 matches the Rfam family "tRNA", at positions 8 to 63 of the family's 71-position model. The record is from RNAcentral. Lineage: Eukaryota; Metazoa; Chordata; Lepidosauria; Squamata; Lacertidae.